UACGAAGGGGGCUAGCGUUGUUCGGAAUUACUGGGCGUAAAGCGCACGUAGGCGGUGUUCCAUGUCAGAGGUGAAAGCCUGGGCUCAACCCCAGAAUUGCCUUUGAAACGGGAACGCUUGAGUCCGAGAGAGGAUGGCGGAAUUCCUAGUGUAGAGGUGAAAUUCGUAGAUAUUAGGAAGAACACCGGUGGCGAAGGCGGCCAUCUGGCUCGGUACUGACGCUCAGGUGCGAAAGCGUGGGGAGCAAACAGG
This 252-nucleotide ribosomal RNA is filed under the name uncultured bacterium. RNAcentral's name for it is "partial 16S ribosomal RNA". It matches the Rfam family "Bacterial small subunit ribosomal RNA", at positions 524 to 776 of the family's 1533-position model. The record is from RNAcentral.